Molecule: long non-coding RNA, 343 nt
Organism: Lolium rigidum
Lineage: Eukaryota; Viridiplantae; Streptophyta; Magnoliopsida; Poales; Poaceae
Exons: 3
Source: RefSeq, a predicted model, not a curated record
CCGCUGCCGACGACGCCGAGAUCUCUCCGCCGCCGACGACGACCACAGAGCUGGAUUUCUCACCUCGGAGGAGAAACAGGGAACUCGAGAAAGUGGAGUUGGGGCUGGAUCGCCGGCGGCAAAGGCCGGACCAACGGUGGCGCAGCCAUGAUUGCCAAACAUGAAUGGCAGCCACCAUCCAUGUAGCUUCUUGUAGUUCUUGGCGCUUGGAGAUGGGGUGAGCAUCAAGGGACAAGUACUGCGGCUAUGCUUCAACGUGCCAUAGCUCUGGACUCGACACCGGCGACCACCAUGGCACCUAAUUUGCCGGACAAGCACGGAGGAUCUCUCCGGCGGCACCAUG